UCCCUCCAGAUCCCUGAUCCCUCAAACUUACACAGUGGUUUGAGUGGUUAGAAAAACAAAAAGGAGGAAACAUAAAACUGAAAUGGACUUGGAGUCUUUAGUGACAAAAAAGUUCAUUUCAAAUAAAC
This 128-nucleotide small nucleolar RNA is filed under the name Echinops telfairi (small Madagascar hedgehog). RNAcentral describes it as "Small nucleolar RNA SNORA61 (ENSETEG00000026880.1)". The record is from RNAcentral. Lineage: Eukaryota; Metazoa; Chordata; Mammalia; Afrosoricida; Tenrecidae.